This 255-nucleotide ribosomal RNA is filed under the name uncultured bacterium. RNAcentral describes it as "partial 16S ribosomal RNA". It matches the Rfam family "Bacterial small subunit ribosomal RNA", at positions 524 to 776 of the family's 1533-position model. The record is from RNAcentral.
UACGUAGGGUGCAAGCGUUGUCCGGAAUUAUUGGGCGUAAAGAGCUCGUAGGCGGUUUGUCGCGUCUGCUGUGAAAAUCCAGGGCUUAACCCUGGACCUGCAGUGGGUACGGGCAGACUAGAGUGCGGGUAGGGGAGAUCGGAAUUCCUGGUGUAAGCGGUGAAAUGCGCAGAUAUCAGGAGGAACACCGGUGGCGAAGGCGGAUCUCUGGGCCGUAACUGACGCUGAGGAGCGAAAGCAUGGGGAGCGAACAGG